Molecule: long non-coding RNA, 2438 nt
Filed under: Eucalyptus grandis
Lineage: Eukaryota; Viridiplantae; Streptophyta; Magnoliopsida; Myrtales; Myrtaceae
Description: long non-coding RNA (EGRA_LNC005608)
Source: RNAcentral
CUCUCUCCUCCCUCUUUCUUCCCCGUCGCCCCCUUCCUUCCCCUCUCUUCUUGCUCGACGGAACCGAGCAAACCAGCGAAGCUGGAGGAGUCGCCGCCCCUCGCCGCCGUUCGCCGCUGCGUGCCGUCGGAGCAGCCGCGCCCUGGCCGCUCGCCCUCCGUCUCCCCCUUUCCUCUCCCAUCGCGGUCUCUCUCCUCCACCUCUGGUUCUUGCUCGAAGACCCAGCGGAUCUGAGGACGCCGGAGCAGCCAGCUAGCUGCUGGACCGCCGCCUCACGCCUCCGCCCUCCACCGUUCGCUGCCGAGCUGCACGCCGUUGCCUCGGCGCUGCCCCGCUCGUCUCGGCCUCCCUCUCGCCCAGCUCUCAGUUUCAGCGAGCUGUCCAGCUCGUCCCAGCUGCUGUGGACCACCGCCGGAGCUCCUACCGCCACCGCCUAGGUCUGGUUCGGCCUCCUCCGUCCAUCUAAGCCCUUGCAUGUCUCAACCGAGCUUGGAUCAGCCUCUUUCUCGGCCUCAACCAGCAGCGAACGGGGAGGAGAAAAAUGGGUAUGGCAGCGGCUUCGUGGCCCGUUUUGGCCGGCUUCCCGACCCCGGAAGCUAGGCCCGCUUUGGAGUGAAUCGAUCCCCUCGGCGUCCCCGUCGAUUUGAGCCGCUCGGAUCGCUAAUCGGGUGAGUUUAACUCACUAAUCCCCGCUUAGUAGAUUAAUCACGUUUAAGGGGUGUUUAGAUUAAACUAAGUAGGUUUAGGUGGUUAGAUUAGUUUAUUUAAAUGUUAAGUGGAUUAAGGGAUGUGAUUAGUUUAGUGGACAAUUAAUUAAAGUUAAGAAAAUGUUUGGAUUAAAGUAAUCUUGUUUAAGCCUUAAUUAAUUAUUUUAAAUUAAAUAAUUAAUUCGAAAUUGUACUAUAAUAAUAAUAUAAUAUAAUAUUAUUAUAUUUACUUUUCGGAAUAAAUUUAAUUAUUUAUUAUUUUCCGGAAAUUUUGAUCGGGAUUGUCGGUGACCGGAAUUUUAUGCUGAUGAUCGUGGUGAAGUCCGUUUGUUUAAUUGAGCUCCGAUUUGAGCUAAAUUGAAUUUAUUGUAAUUAAUUAUUAAAUUUCGAAAUUAAUUAAUAAUUAAUUAAAAUUCGGAAAUUAAGAUUUAGAAGGCCGACGACCGAAAUUCCGUGCUGAUUAUCUUAGUGCAGUCCGUUUAUUUAUUUGAGCGUUAAUUUGUGCUGAAUCGAAUUAAUUGUGAAUUUAGGAUUUAUUCUUAAAUUAUCUGAUUUUGGUUUAGUGAUGGAGAAAUAACCGGGCGUCGGUUUACAGCGCCAAAAAGAUGUAAUGGGCUAAUGAAAUCGGUGGGAUAUCUUUAAGUAAAAUUAUUAUAUUUUGGCUAAGGCCAACCGUGUACCCACACACGGCUAUUUAUCGUGAAUGAUAAAAAUGAUGAAUUGACUAUAUGGUUGGAGUGGUAUAUUAUAUCGGCCUUCGGGCGAUAUGUCAGCUUUGGGUGAGCAGUAUACCGGUAUACUAUAUUGACCUACGGGUGAUAUGUCAACUUUGGGUGAGCAGUAUACCUUAUUAUCAGCUUUGGGCGAGCAUAUAUAGUAUACUAAAUUGGCCUGGGGGCCCUAAUUUAUCAGCUUUGGGCGAGCAUAUACAUAGUAUACUAUAUCUAUCAGCUUUGGGCGAGCUAUGCUAUCUAUUAUCAGCUUUGGGUGAGCAGUUAUAGACUAUGGUCGGACUUUAUAGAUAGUAUUGAAUGUACCGGCCAGGGAAAGGUCGUGGUGACAUGUAAUCGAUUAAGUCGAUUGAUCGCUGAGUCGAUCUGAUUGGUGGAAUGUAAUUGUUUGCUGUAGUUAUCGAUAUUAUUAGUUGAACUAAAGUGCAGGAAAGGAACUGAUGCCAAGGUAAGCCCUUUGACCUGUGUUGUGCUUAGGCAGCCCUUAUGGCGUAUUGGCUUCCUAAUUGGGUCUUAGUGGGGUAGAACUCGCUGAGACAUAGUCUCAUCCCAGUUUGGGGAAAAAUAUUUCAGGUUCCUAGAUGACGAUCGUGGAGGACCGGAAGUCCUGAAGUUCGGAAGGUGGAGGCUGAAGAAUCGGCAAAUGGGUCUGACUAGUGGAUGUUAAGACAGUCCCCUUUUUGAUAAGCCGUUAAUUUUGUAAACAGCCUAAGUUUGUAAUUAACCAGUUUGCUUAUAAAGACUCGUCUUGGGUUGAAAAAUAUGAUCCUACUCUUCUAUCCCAUUGUUUGAUUGUCUGGGGAUUUUAUUAAGCUUCCGCAUGCGUAUAUAAAUGAAUGGGUCGGCGACCUUCCUGGGACGUCGCAAAUAAAUCGACCGAGUAAGGGAUGGGCGCGCGCCCGAGGAUCGGGGCGUGACAGACAGAGUACUAGAACUUUUUUACCACAAAGUGUCUAAAGAAAUUCUAGCCAUCCACCUUAACCCCCAAUUUUCAGAGGAC